This is a non-coding RNA of Styela clava, 740 nucleotides long. NCBI's taxonomy places the organism in Eukaryota, Metazoa, Chordata, Ascidiacea, Stolidobranchia, Styelidae. The record is from RefSeq and is a predicted model, not a curated record.
AGCUAUGAUGGCGAGACCAGGUAGAUACUACUGAGCAUAUUUUGGAUGCAUGAGGUUAUUCCUAUCCGCCACACGAUAAGAGCAUAUAUGGAUUCACUCGAUUGUAAAAUUGUUAUAAAGGACGGUCGACCCAUUAAAGAAUGUCUGGGUGAAAGCAUCGAAGACAGUUUUGAAAUCGAUUCUCUUCCAUUCUUUGGGAUAUUAUUGGUAGCCGUAAUAUUCAGUUUCAUCAUAUCCUGUAAAUUGUACUUUUCCUGUCAAAAAUUAAAAUACAAUGGACUUGAAAUGUCUUUCGAGGAUAAGACAAAGGCAGAAAAGAUCAGGAAAGUAACGAAAAAUCCGGAUCAAUGAAUUGAAGAACCCGUGAAGCCGAAAAGCUGUUAACUCUAGGCCUACAUACACAUAUAUAUAUAUAUAUAUAUGGUGUAUGUCGAUUCAAUAUUUCAUUUUCUAUAAUGUGAUAAACUGAUCGCGGUCAUUUCGAAUUAUUUUUGUUCAUAAAUUUAGUUAGAAAAUUAUACUUUUUAAAUUUAUUAUUAUUACUGGAUUAAUUUGCUGGGGAGUAGGACUUAAAUGUUUUCUAAUAGUGGUAAUUUUUAUGCAUUUGUUUACGGCUGCUUUCAUUGUUUCCAUUUUCUAUUACUUGUUCUUUUCAUUACUUCGAUUGUUAAAUCUAAAACCUCCAACACGCUGCUUUCUCGAUUAAUGAAUUUUGAAAGUUCUGUUAAAUUGAAAACGAU